This 375-nucleotide ribosomal RNA is filed under the name Triticum aestivum (bread wheat). Its description in RNAcentral is "partial small subunit ribosomal RNA". Lineage: Eukaryota; Viridiplantae; Streptophyta; Magnoliopsida; Poales; Poaceae. The record is from RNAcentral.
AUGAAUAUCGCCCUCCUUACCCAAUGGUUGUGGCGCAUCUCGCAGGGACACGGCGGGUUAUGGUUGGACAUCAUUAGGAAUAAGUACCUACAUGGCCAACCUCUGGCUUUCUGUCAACGAUCUGGUGGGUCCCAGUUCUGGCAAUCAGUCAUCCAGCUGCUUCCCGUCCUCCGCAUUGGGACGCCCAUAUCGGUCGGAUCGGGUUCAGCGACCAUGUUCUGGUUUGACCGCUGGGCGGGUGACACCCCCUUCGCGGCUCGCUUCCCCGACCUCUUCUCCAUCGCUGUCGUCCCGACAAUCUCCAUGGAACGGGCCCUUAUUGACUUAGGGCACCUCGUGUUCCGGAGGCCAUUUGGGCCUCCGGAAGCUUCGUAA